AAGAUUCAUGGACAGGGAUCAGGGAGAGAUGAUGGAUUCAUUCCUUUCAACUUAUGAAACAAAACCCAGAACGGGGGGAGACCCUUCGAUCUUAAUCGGCAGGCGCUAACACGACAAUGAUCUCCAGAGUUUAACCUAAAAGUCGGGGGGUCCUCACAAAUUACGUUUCUUGCAAGGAAAGUAACAGAGGGAGGAGGAGGGCCUUCACGUCAUAUUUUGUUCCUCCCUCUCGCUUUUUUGGUUAUGUUGUAUUUCGCUUUUAAUUAUAUAUACACGAUUUUGGCAAUUAUUUUA
This is a long non-coding RNA of Tarenaya hassleriana, 294 nucleotides long. RefSeq lists it as uncharacterized. The transcript is spliced from 2 exons. Lineage: Eukaryota; Viridiplantae; Streptophyta; Magnoliopsida; Brassicales; Cleomaceae. The record is from RefSeq and is a predicted model, not a curated record.